Molecule: ribosomal RNA, 408 nt
Filed under: uncultured bacterium
Lineage: Bacteria
Description: bacterial SSU rRNA
Rfam family: Bacterial small subunit ribosomal RNA
Source: RNAcentral
AUUGGACGCUGGCGGCAUGCCUUACACAUGCAAGUCGAACGGCAGCACGGGGGCAACCCUGGUGGCGAGUGGCGAACGGGUGAGUAAUGCAUCGGAACGUGUCCUCUUGUGGGGGAUAACCAGUCGAAAGAUUGGCUAAUACCGCAUGAGAUCGAGAGAUGAAAGCGGGGGACCCGAGGGUAACUUCGGGCCUCGCGCGAGAGGAGCGGCCGAUGCCGGAUUAGCUAGUUGGUGGGGUAAGAGCCUACCAAGGCGACGAUCCGUAGCUGGUCUGAGAGGACGACCAGCCACACUGGGACUGAGACACGGCCCAGACUCCUACGGGAGGCAGCAGUGGGGAAUUUUGGACAAUGGGCGCAAGCCUGAUCCAGCCAUGCCGCGUGUGUGAAGAAGGCCUCGGUUGUAAGU